Molecule: non-coding RNA, 235 nt
Filed under: Peptoniphilus duerdenii
Lineage: Bacteria; Bacillati; Bacillota; Tissierellia; Tissierellales; Peptoniphilaceae
Description: T-box sequence
Rfam family: T-box leader
About the family: Uncharged tRNA acts as the effector for transcription antitermination of genes in the T-box leader family.
Source: RNAcentral
AAAAACUACAAGACAGGAAGAGUAAAAAGAAUUUUAGUCUUUACAGAGAAGCUACAUUUUGGUGAGAGUGGCGAGAUGAGAUCUUUUGAACAUGAUCCUUGAUGGGGUGGUUCGAUAUUUAGAAUCACACGGGAACUCCCGUUACAGAGUUAGUGUAUGAUGGUACAUGAAGUGGCAUUAUUAUUUAUUAUUGUAAUGCAAUUAAGGUGGUAACGCGGAUUAUUUCGCCCUUUUU